GACGCUGGCGGCAGGCCUAACACAUGCAAGUCGAGCGGCAGCACGGGGAGCUUGCUCCCUGGUGGCGAGCGGCGGACGGGUGAGUAAUGCAUAGGAAUCUGCCCGGUAGUGGGGGAUAACGUGGGGAAACCCACGCUAAUACCGCAUACGUCCUACGGGAGAAAGCGGAGGAUCUUCGGACUUCGCGCUAUCGGAUGAGCCUAUGUCGGAUUAGCUAGUUGGUAAGGUAACGGCUUACCAAGGCGACGAUCCGUAGCUGGUCUGAGAGGAUGAUCAGCCACACUGGGACUGAGACACGGCCCAGACUCCUACGGGAGGCACGCAGUGGGGAAUAUUGGACAAUGGGCGAAAGCCUGAUCCAGCCAUGCCGCGUGUGUGAAGAAGGCUUUCGAGGUUGUAAAGCACUUUCAGCGAGGAAGAAAGCCUUUGGGUUAAUACCCCAGAGGAAGGACAUCACUCGCAGAAGAAGCCACCGGCUAACUCCGUGCCAGCAGCCGCGAGUAAUACGGAGGGUGCGAGCGUUAAUCGGAAUUACUGGGCGUAAAGCGCGCGUAGGUGGCUUGGCACGCCGGUUGUGAAAGCCCCGGGCUCAACCUGGGANCGGCAUCCGGAACGGCCAGGNUAGAGUGCAGGAGAGGAAGGUAGAAUUCCCGGUGUAGCGGUGAAAUGNGUAGAGAUCGGGAGGAAUACCAGUGGCGAAGGCGGCCUUCUGGCCUGACACUGACACUGAGGUGCGAAAGCGUGGGUAGCAAACAGGAUUAGAUACCCUGGUAGUCCACGCCGUAAACGAUGUCGACUAGCCGUUGGGACCUUUAAGGACUUAGUGGCGCAGUUAACGCGAUAAGUCGACCGCCUGGGGAGUACGGCCGCAAGGUUA
Molecule: ribosomal RNA, 877 nt
Filed under: Halomonas sp. 9313c3
Lineage: Bacteria; Pseudomonadati; Pseudomonadota; Gammaproteobacteria; Oceanospirillales; Halomonadaceae
Description: bacterial SSU rRNA
Rfam family: Bacterial small subunit ribosomal RNA
Source: RNAcentral